This 1210-nucleotide long non-coding RNA is filed under the name Neogobius melanostomus (round goby). Its description in RNAcentral is "lncRNA (ENSNMLG00000013288.1)". Lineage: Eukaryota; Metazoa; Chordata; Actinopteri; Gobiiformes; Gobiidae. The record is from RNAcentral.
CAACAUCAGCACAAUAUAUUCACUCAUUCAUAUGCCACAAGAUAAAGAAGAUAUAUCCUAUGUGUCAGUAGUUGCCUACCUUUUUUUGUGUGUGUCUUUUAUUCAUAAGAGUGAGUGCCCCCAACCUUAAGGGUCAACUGGGACACUUCAGUGUCACUUUGCAAGACAGUCAUGAAUUGUGAACUUAAGUUAAGCAAAGGGAUUAGGGCUCUUUUUAAUCAUGUUACUAUCUAAACUCUAAACUUGCUCCCUUAUGUUGCCGUUAAAUGUCUGUAUGUCAUCUGUGCCAGAGGCCAGUCGGUGUGCUCGUCAUGCUCCACAUCUUGGGGAGGCUCAGCAGAGGGGGCCGCUGAGUGUUUGCAGAUCGCUCCUGCAGCUCAGAUUCCACAAAGCCACGACCAACACUCUGUUGAAAAUGAGGCCAUUCUCCAUAAAGAUGAGCUGGACUCGAUGCUGGGAGAUGUGAGUUUGACUCAGGGCUCCUUCGAUGGCAUUCUACAGUGGGCCUUUCACAGUAUUUCGAGACCACUCCCUGACUCUCAUGGCUGCUUCCAGUGAUCGACCAUCCGACGAACGUGCCUCACAGUGACACUCAUAUAGACAGCCAUAGUGAAUCGAAAUGUUAUUAUUAUUAUUUUUUUAAAGAGACAGGCCACACAAAAGUUGCGCAACUACUACAAUCAACAUUAGCGCCACUACUACUGUUUCUAAGCAACACAAUCCACUAUCUCAUUUGCAACCUCAAUCAACCUCACCCUCACUUCUACGUCCACUACAGUUACUACAGUUGUAUUAUUAGUUUACUACCCAUUUUGCAACCACAAAGUAAUUUACAAAACCCACCACACAAGAAAAUGACAAUCAACCACUGACUCUGAAAGGUGUGUUAUUAAAAUAAACAAAUGUUGACCUGGCUGCUCGAUAUGAAUGAAAAAUGCGCAAUUUGGUAAAGGUCUUACAUAGUGUAAUAACAAUAUUAUUGCAAUAUUUCAUGAGACUAUUAUGAAACAGUAUGUUCCAUUAAAUUCAAACACAAAAUCUUGAUUUGUUUCUUUGUGAAACUGAGUAAAAUUUAAAGAUUGGAAUAAACUGACUUUUUUUCUGCAACUAAAUGUUUCCCUGCAUUUUUUGAGGACCAGGAGUUGUGAUCUUGCAAUGUUUUUCAUAACAAUAAUUUAGCAAUACUGCACUACGCAGCCCUUAAUCUGAU